CAAAGGAGGUUAACAGUAGAGCGUGAAUGGGAAAAGGUCCUUCCAGCCCUUGUUCAUGAGGGUCCAUCGUCCACAAACUCACCCAUUUUCAGGUGUCGAGUGCAUGAAAGGCUCCAGGGAGCACACCACACAGCGAAUGGUUGCGUUGGGCGACGACAGGACUCAAAUAGCCCCCCUAAAAGCAGAAGUGAGAGGCCAGCUGUGUCCAUGAGACAGAGUGGAGAACACCUGCACAGACAGGACCGCUAUAUUUGCAUACAUGUAUGUAAUCCGUUAUGUAACAGUUGCUCUCUGUGGUCCUGCUUUGGUACAGUGACUUGUUUCUGACAUGGUUGGAUGACUUUCACACAUUUUACUAAUAAAAGAAGACUCUUGAAACAGGCUUUGUUCUCAGUGAACCUUUUCUAUUGCACUUCUUUUUAGCUCAAAUAAUUGAACGGCUCGUUUGUAUUUGAGUGUAUUUACAGAUCUAAAACCUAUAGAAAGUGGCAGAAAGUAAGUUUUAGAGGAGUGUAAUGAGGACGAUGUUCUCAUCCUUGCGUCCCAUGCUCAUCUCAGCUGGAAUCACAACUGCACACUAGUCAGAUCACAAUAUAUAUGCAAUGUUUAUAGCACAAGGCUAUCUGUUAAGGUAGUAAGUAAAAUAAAGGAAGAAGCUCACCGUUCAUUCACAUUCUGUCCGUUUUUAUUCAUGUAAAUGUUCCCAGCUCAUUUCAUCACAUGGCAUUCUCCAUAAAAUGUGUUGGGCAAGGCUUUACUUGAACUCUUCUACAUAAUAUUGGCAUGAUAAACAUAUCAGGGCAGAUAACAUAUACUGUCAUGAGGUGUCCUGUCCAGAAAUAAAACAGUCUCGUGUGUUUUCACUGUAAAAUUACUGUAAGUCCAAUUUAAUGGCCACAAUAUGAGAAAGUGGGAGUCUGAAACAUUAAAAAGGGACUUUAAUGACCUUUAACACACUCAGCGAGCCCAACCUGCAGUCAUUUAGCAGCGUUCCUCUGCCUGCAUGGAGAACCGAUAUAUUCUCAGGGCCACUUGGAUUGAAUGCUGAGCUACAUAAAAGCUGCAGGUCAAACAGACUGACCUGUU
Long non-coding RNA from Pygocentrus nattereri (red-bellied piranha), 1086 nucleotides. The record is from Ensembl. NCBI's taxonomy places the organism in Eukaryota, Metazoa, Chordata, Actinopteri, Characiformes, Serrasalmidae.